GCCCGGCUGGCUCAGUCGGUAGAGCACGAGACUCGAACUCUCGGGGGUCGUGGGUUCGAGCCUCACGUUGGGUG
This 74-nucleotide transfer RNA is filed under the name Procambarus clarkii (red swamp crayfish). Its description in RNAcentral is "transfer RNA serine (anticodon CGA)". It matches the Rfam family "tRNA". From Rfam's summary of the family: Transfer RNA (tRNA) molecules are approximately 80 nucleotides in length. Their secondary structure includes four short double-helical elements and three loops (D, anti-codon, and T loops). The record is from RNAcentral. Lineage: Eukaryota; Metazoa; Arthropoda; Malacostraca; Decapoda; Cambaridae.